UACGGAGGGUGCGAGCGUUGUCCGGAAUCACUGGGCGUAAAGGGCGCGUAGGCGGCGCGGCAAGUCAACGGUGAAAGCUUGGGGCUCAACUGGGGAAUUGCACGGGAAACUGCGAGGCUUGAGUUCGGGAGAGGGAAGCGGAAUUCCGGGUGUAGCGGUGAAAUGCGUAGAUAUCCGGAGGAACACCGGUGGCGAAGGCGGCUUCCUGGACCGACACUGACGCUGAGGCGCGAAAGCUAGGGGAGCAAACGGG
This 253-nucleotide ribosomal RNA is filed under the name uncultured bacterium. Its description in RNAcentral is "partial 16S ribosomal RNA". It matches the Rfam family "Bacterial small subunit ribosomal RNA", at positions 524 to 776 of the family's 1533-position model. The record is from RNAcentral.